This 468-nucleotide ribosomal RNA is filed under the name uncultured bacterium. RNAcentral describes it as "partial 16S ribosomal RNA". It matches the Rfam family "Bacterial small subunit ribosomal RNA", at positions 28 to 507 of the family's 1533-position model. The record is from RNAcentral.
GACGAACGCUGGCGGCGUGCUUAACACAUGCGAGUCGAACGGAAAGGCCCUGCUUUUGUGGGGUGCUCGAGUGGCGAACGGGUGAGUAACACGUGAGUAACCUGCCCUUGACUUUGGGAUAACUUCAGGAAACUGGGGCUAAUAUCGGAUAGGAGCUCCUGCUGCAUGGUGGGGGUUGGAAAGUUUCGGCGGUUGGGGAUGGACUCGCGGCUUAUCAGCUUGUUGGUGGGGUAGUGGCUUACCAAGGCUUUGACGGGUAGCCGGCCUGAGAGGGUGACCGGCCACAUUGGGACUGAGAUACGGCCCAGACUCCUACGGGAGGCAGCAGUGGGGAAUAUUGCACAAUGGGCGGAAGCCUGAUGCAGCAACGCCGCGUGCGGGAUGACGGCCUUCGGGUUGUAAACCGCUUUCGCCUGUGACGAAGCGUGAGUGACGGUAAUGGGUAAAGAAGCACCGGCUAACUACGUG